CCUACGGGGCGCUGCAGUGAGGAAUAUUGGUCAAUGGACGAGAGUCUGAACCAGCCAAGUAGCGUGAAGGAUGACUGCCCUAUGGGUUGUAAACUUCUUUUAUAUGGGAAUAAAAUGUUCCACGUGUGGGAUUUUGUAUGUACCAUAUGAAUAAGGAUCGGCUAACUCCGUGCCAGCAGCCGCGGUAAUACGGAGGAUCCGAGCGUUAUCCGGAUUUAUUGGGUUUAAAGGGAGCGUAGGUGGAUUGUUAAGUCAGUUGUGAAAGUUUGCGGCUCAACCGUAAAAUUGCAGUUGAAACUGGCAGUCUUGAGUACAGUAGAGGUGGGCGGAAUUCGUGGUGUAGCGGUGAAAUGCUGAGAUAUCACGAAGAACUCCGAUUGCGAAGGCAGUUCACUGGACUGCAACUGACACUGAGGCUCGAAAGUGUGGGUAUCAAACAGGAUUAGAUACCCCUGUAGUC
Molecule: ribosomal RNA, 460 nt
Filed under: uncultured bacterium
Lineage: Bacteria
Description: partial 16S ribosomal RNA
Rfam family: Bacterial small subunit ribosomal RNA
Source: RNAcentral